This 253-nucleotide ribosomal RNA is filed under the name uncultured bacterium. RNAcentral describes it as "partial 16S ribosomal RNA". It matches the Rfam family "Bacterial small subunit ribosomal RNA", at positions 524 to 776 of the family's 1533-position model. The record is from RNAcentral.
UACGUAGGUGGCGAGCGUUGUCCGGAUUUACUGGGCGUAAAGAGCGCGCAGGCGGUCGUUCAAGUCGCGUGUGAAAGCCCCCGGCUCAACUGGGGAGGGUCACGCGAUACUGAUCGACUCGAAGGCAGGAGAGGGUAGUGGAAUUCCCGGUGUAGUGGUGAAAUGCGUAGAUAUCGGGAGGAACACCAGUGGCGAAGGCGGCUUCCUGGACCGGUUCUGACACUGAGGAGCGAAAGCGUGGGGAGCGAUCCGG